Molecule: ribosomal RNA, 475 nt
Filed under: uncultured bacterium
Lineage: Bacteria
Description: partial 16S ribosomal RNA
Rfam family: Bacterial small subunit ribosomal RNA
Source: RNAcentral
GACGAACGCUGGCGGCGUGCUUAACACAUGCAAGUCGAACGGUAAGGCCCUUCGGGGUACACGAGUGGCGAACGGGUGAGUAACACGUGGGUGAUCUGCCCUGCACUUCGGGAUAAGCCUGGGAAACUGGGUCUAAUACCGGAUAGGACCACUGCCUGCAUGGGUGGUGGAAAGCUUUUGCGGUGUGGGAUGGGCCCGCGGCCUAUCAGCUUGUUGGGGGGGUGAUGGCCUACCAAGGCGACGACGGGUAGCCGGCCUGAGAGGGUGACCGGCCACACGGGGAGUGAGAUACUGCCCAGACGCCUACGGGAGGCGGCAGUGGGGAAUAUUGCACAAUGGGCGCAAGCCUGAUGCAGCGACGCCGCGUGAGGGAUGACGGCCUUCGGGUUGUAAACCUCUUUCAGCACCGACGAAGCGCAAGUGACGGUAGGUGCAGAAGAAGGACCGGCCAACUACGUGCCAGCCGCCGCAGUAA